This 874-nucleotide long non-coding RNA is filed under the name Marmota monax (woodchuck). The record is from RNAcentral. Lineage: Eukaryota; Metazoa; Chordata; Mammalia; Rodentia; Sciuridae.
UGGGAAUUGAACUCAGGGGAAAUGAACCACUGAACCACAUCCCUGGCCCUUUUUUUAGAGACAGGGUCUUACUGAGUUGCCUAGCUCCUCCCUAAAUUGCUGAGGCUGGCUUUGAACUUGCAGUCCUCCUGCCUCAGCGUCCCCAGCCAUUGGGAUUACAGGUGUGUGCCACUGCGCCUGGCCUAACAAUGUCUCUUAUAAGUAGGCAUGCACUGGCUGUAACACACUGCUGGAUAGAAGUAAGUAAUGCAUGUUGUCUGCUUUAUGAAAGUAUUUUUCUUUUUAAUUUAGAAGAUAUAUAAGACAUAUGUAGAUAACAAGUAGCCGUACAGUUGAUGUGAUGGUACAGUAGGGGAAAGAGUUGGGUAUAAAAUUAGUGGGGAAGGAAUGUCCCACCCCAAAGGCAUAUGUGGAAGCCCUAAUCCACACUGUGGAUGUAUCUGGAGUAGGAAAGUUAAUUAAAGUUAAAUGUAAUUGUAAGGGUGAAGCCCUGAUCUAAUAGGAUUAGUGUCCUCAUAAGAAGAGACAUUGGAGAACUCACGCUCUCUCCAAGAACACCAGGAAAGACUGUGAACGCCAGUCAGGAAGAGACGUCUUGACCAACGUUAGAUCUGCUUGAUGGGCUCAGGACAGCAGAAUAUAGUACCAUGGCACUUCAGAGCACAAAAUCAAGGAGCUCACACCUCCCCUCACCCUCACCCUCCCUGAAGCAGGUUAGAAGACCCUCACCGGAGAAGCACCUUCCCUAGACCUGAUCAAAGGAAAGUUCUAUUCUAAAGACACAACAACAAAAUCUCUGAAUAAAUUGGCCUUGCUCGGGGGCCCAAUUUAUUACCUUCCACUCGCACCCUCCUUGUCCAAUCACUCGUGUGCA